ACAGCUAAAGCAGCACUCAGAAAGAAAUGUAUAGCACUGAAAACCUAUAUUAGAAGAGAAGAAAGUUUUCAAAUGAACAAUCUAAUCUUCCAGGAUUAGAACAUUGAGCGAGCGAACUAAACCCAAAACAAGUAAGAGGAAAGAUAAAAAGAAAUUUGAGCAGAAAUCAAUAGACUUGGUAAUAGAGAAACAGUAGAGAAAAAUCGAUGACCGAAACCUGAAGUGUAUGUAAAAAUGUGGUUAGAAACUGCCUGAACUGUGGUUAGAAAGGUAGCAGGGAUAGACUUCUCUUUCCACU
RNAcentral lists this long non-coding RNA (298 nucleotides) under Pan troglodytes (chimpanzee). Its description in RNAcentral is "long non-coding RNA NONPTRT012143". The record is from RNAcentral. Lineage: Eukaryota; Metazoa; Chordata; Mammalia; Primates; Hominidae.